RNAcentral lists this ribosomal RNA (522 nucleotides) under Lophoxanthus lamellipes. RNAcentral's name for it is "partial 16S ribosomal RNA". It matches the Rfam family "Bacterial large subunit ribosomal RNA", at positions 1830 to 2597 of the family's 2925-position model. The record is from RNAcentral. Lineage: Eukaryota; Metazoa; Arthropoda; Malacostraca; Decapoda; Panopeidae.
GUCCGUUUGAUGGUAUAAAUGGUCUAGCCUGCUCACUGAUAGUUUCAUUUAAGAGCCGCGGUAUCUUGACCGUGCAAAGGUAGCAUAAUCAUUAGGGGUUUAAUUGGAACCUGGUAUGAAGGGUUGGACAAAGAAGGAGCUGUCUUUACAAUACAAGUUGAAAUUUACUUUUAAGUGAAAAGGCUUAAAUGCGUCGAAGGGACGAUAAGACCCUAUGAAGCUUUAUAAAUUGGUUGAAUUUAGUGGAUUUAGUCGGUAAAGAUUAAGUUUAAUUAUUUUAUUUUGUUGGGGCGAUAUGAGUAUAAAUUUUAUUAACUGCUUAAAGGAGAUACAAUUAUAGGUGAGUAAAUUGGCGUGUAUGAUCCUUUUUAGAGAUUAAAAGACUAAGUUACUUUAGGGAUAACAGCGUUAUUUCUUUUGAGAGUUCCUAUCGAAAAAGGAGAUUGCGACCUCGAUGUUGAAUUAAAAUAUCUAUAUAAUGCAGCCGUUAUAAAAGAGGGUCUGUUCGACCUUUAAAUUUUU